RNAcentral lists this small nucleolar RNA (65 nucleotides) under Salvator merianae (Argentine black and white tegu). Its description in RNAcentral is "Small nucleolar RNA U54 (ENSSMRG00000010312.1)". It matches the Rfam family "Small nucleolar RNA U54". Lineage: Eukaryota; Metazoa; Chordata; Lepidosauria; Squamata; Teiidae. The record is from Rfam by way of RNAcentral.
UGGCUAUGAGGACAAAAGAAUUCACUGAAUUAUUGUGAUUAGUGAUACGCUAUUCUGAGCCAACA